CGUCUAGGCGGGGAAUUAAGUUAGGUGUGAAAUCCAUGGGCUCAACUCGUGAAUGGCAUCUAAAACUGGUUCUCUUGAGUUCGGGAGAGGAGAGCAGAAUUCCUGGUGUAGCGGUGAAAUGCGUAGAUAUCAGGAGGAAUACCAGUGGCGAAGGCGGCUCUCUGGCCUAGGACUGACGCUGAAGCGCGAAAGCGUGGGGAGCGAACG
This 207-nucleotide ribosomal RNA is filed under the name uncultured bacterium. RNAcentral's name for it is "partial 16S ribosomal RNA". It matches the Rfam family "Bacterial small subunit ribosomal RNA", at positions 568 to 774 of the family's 1533-position model. The record is from RNAcentral.